Molecule: ribosomal RNA, 253 nt
Filed under: uncultured bacterium
Lineage: Bacteria
Description: partial 16S ribosomal RNA
Rfam family: Bacterial small subunit ribosomal RNA
Source: RNAcentral
UACAGAGGUCCCGAGCGUUGUUCGGACUCACUGGGCGUAAAGGGUGCGUAGGUGGUGAGGCAAGUCGGAUGUGAAAUCUCCAAGCUCAACUUGGAAAUGGCGUUGGAAACUACCUUGCUGGAGGUUUGGAGGGGGGACUGGAAUACUUGGUGUAGCAGUGAAAUGCGUAGAUAUCAAGUGGAACACCAGUGGCGAAGGCGAGUCCCUGGACAACACCUGACACUGAGGCACGAAAGCUAGGGGAGCAAACAGG